CAGCAGCCACGGUAAUACGAAGGGGGCUAGCGUUGUUCGGAAUUACUGGGCGUAAAGUGCACGCAGGCGGCUCGAUAAAUUAGAAGUGAAAGCCUUGGGCUUAACCUGAGAAUUGCUUUUAAGACUGUCGAGCUAGAAUCCAGAAGAGGGUAGUGGAAUUCCGAGUGUAGAGGUGAAAUUCGUAGAUAUUCGGAAGAACACCAGUGGCGAAGGCGACUACCUGGUCUGGCAUUGACGCUCAUGUGCGAAAGCGUGGGGAGCAAACAGGAUUAGAUACCCGCGUAGUCCCUGUCUCUUAUAC
RNAcentral lists this ribosomal RNA (301 nucleotides) under uncultured bacterium. RNAcentral describes it as "partial 16S ribosomal RNA". It matches the Rfam family "Bacterial small subunit ribosomal RNA", at positions 509 to 807 of the family's 1533-position model. The record is from RNAcentral.